GACGUAGGGGGCAAGCGUUGUCCGGAAUUACUGGGCGUAAAGGGCGCGCAGGCGGUCCUUCAAGUCAGAUGUGAAAGCCCCGGGCUCAACCUGGGAACUGCAUUUGAGACUGGAGGACUUGAGGACGGGAGAGGAGAGUGGAAUUCCCAGUGUAGAGGUGAAAUUCGUAGAUAUUGGGAAGAACACCGAUGGCGAAGGCAGCUCUCUGGACCGUUACUGACGCUGAGGCGCGAAAGCGUGGGGAGCAAACAGG
This 253-nucleotide ribosomal RNA is filed under the name uncultured bacterium. Its description in RNAcentral is "partial 16S ribosomal RNA". It matches the Rfam family "Bacterial small subunit ribosomal RNA", at positions 524 to 776 of the family's 1533-position model. The record is from RNAcentral.